Molecule: ribosomal RNA, 253 nt
Filed under: uncultured bacterium
Lineage: Bacteria
Description: partial 16S ribosomal RNA
Rfam family: Bacterial small subunit ribosomal RNA
Source: RNAcentral
UACGUAGGGUCCGAGCGUUGUCCGGAAUUAUUGGGCGUAAAGGGCUCGUAGGCGGUCUGUUGCGUCGGGAGUGAAAACUUACAGCUUAACUGUGAGCGUGCUUUCGAUACGGGCAGACUUGAGGCAUUCAGGGGAGAACGGAAUUCCUGGUGUAGCGGUGAAAUGCGCAGAUAUCAGGAGGAACACCUAUAGCGAAGGCAGCUUGCUGGGACGUUACUGACGCUAAGGCGCGAAAGCGUGGGGAGCGAACAGG